Long non-coding RNA from Acinonyx jubatus (cheetah), 1909 nucleotides. RefSeq lists it as uncharacterized. The transcript has 5 exons. The record is from RefSeq and is a predicted model, not a curated record. NCBI's taxonomy places the organism in Eukaryota, Metazoa, Chordata, Mammalia, Carnivora, Felidae.
CAUGCUUACAAAGCACUAAGUCGAUAGCCCAGUAUAUAGUACCUCUAGAUCAACGUUAGCUAUUAUAAUUCGGUGGUAGUAUUGAUAUCCCAAGUAAUUGGUAUGUUACAGAACAUCGAAUAACAGGUUAGGUCACAAUAUCAAAAGCAACAUUCCUUCUAUGAAAUAGAAGGCCUUCUGCACUCAGAACCCCAUUGUGGCCCCUUUAUGGUCAGCCAGCUUCUGGUCACAAGUCAGACUUUUAUGUGCUAAGCCCUUCACUUGUUUCUCACUUGGAUAUUAGUAAUGCUGUAUCUGGAGUGUGGGUAAUAUAUCUUUAAAAGAUUGCAGACUGCUAUUUAUGCACAAGUGACCAGGAAAAAAAUUGCAUUGUGUUGUAAUAAAAGAACCCUCUCAACCAGAACUGAAGUGUUGUUUCCACAACACUGAAAGAGAGACUAAACAAAGCAAACUGGAAAAGCUGCUUGGUGUUGUCACCUGAGGAGUCUAGACAGUGACUGCUCUAACAUCAAGAGUGAAGACAACAUGGAGUAGAGCCCCUGGCUGCCCUGUGAUGGACAUAUGAUGUUGCACAUGCCUGCCUACCAAGUAACAGAAAGAUGCUGCCAUUGCACUGUGAGCUGAGAUUCACAUGGAACUGUUCCACAGAGCUAUGGCUGGAAUCAGAGAUUAAUACCCAGCAGUGGAAUGGCUGGAUCAUGUUUCAAUUCCCCAUGAUCAACCCGAGUCAGAAAGCAGAUGAUCCUCCUUCUGACUUAUCUUCAGAAGGUAAGGAGUAGCCUCAUGCUACAUCACAUUCACCCGACUUCAUCUCAUCGCAUAGGCAUUUUUAUCAUCCCCUCUCAUCACAAGAAGGGUGCAUACAGUACAGUAAGAGAUUUUGAGAAAGAGGCCACAUUCACAUAACUUUUAGUAUAAUAUUUUGUUGUAAUUGUUCUAUUUUAUUAUUAGUUAUUGGUGUUCAUCUCUUACUGUGCCUAAUUUAUAAAUUCAACUUGAUCAUAUUAUGUAUUAUGUAUAGGAAAAAAAAACUUAGUAUAUACAGGGUUCAGUACCAUCCAUGGUUUCAGGCAUCCAUUGAGGGUCUGGGAUUGUAUCCCCCAUAGAUAAAAGGAGGGGGAGGCGAAUGUAGUUGGUCACCACAGCACUACUGAAUAGUGUGAUUAAUUUGGCCUAUAUUUAGAUCCUAACUUUCUCAGAAGUCAUUUCCCUACAAAGCGCUUUUUGUAGAUACAAGCUGUGUGUAUGAACAAGUUCAAAUUGUGUCACAGUGGUUCAGGGUCACAGAGCUCUGCAAGCCUGCCCUUCAUUUAUGAAGCACUCUUUCUCCUAAUUCCCAGCAUUCUAUUUUUAUUCCUUUUCUUACUGUAUCCAUUUGCAAGCUUUGGAGGACUUUAUAGAAUGUGAUCACGUGAAGUCUGUUUUUGUGAAUUAAUUGGCUGGUUUUAACUUAAGCAGUCAGUUCAGUUAUAAGAAAAGUGAUAGAUAAUGCAAUUUAAAUUAUUAACUGUGCAUUUAUCUCAUAGAACUAUGGGUGGUUUUAUUUUCUUCUUUUCUAAAUCACACUGUGCAUGUGUUAUUUUUACAAAACAAAAUCUUUUCAAAGUGACUGUAAAAUUACAUGUUAAAUAAUUUCUCUUGAAAUUUACUGUGUUUACCAAAAUCCAUCCAAUAAGACCUCACCAUUUCUGGUCAGAGCUGCUCAUGGGAAUACACUUAGAAAAUUACCUAGAUCCUCUGUCCAGAAAGACAUCAGGCCAGCAAAGGAAGACACCUAUUAGGGUCUAAGAAACUGCGAAUUGUGGAGCAGGUCAGCCAUGUUUGAUAAGCUGACAAGGUCAGUUGAAGAAUGAAUGAAAUUCUGGGGACAAGAUAGCUGGAGGCAAAAUGGAAUUUGGAAGGAAAAAGA